Molecule: long non-coding RNA, 8240 nt
Filed under: Salmo salar (Atlantic salmon)
Lineage: Eukaryota; Metazoa; Chordata; Actinopteri; Salmoniformes; Salmonidae
Description: lncRNA (ENSSSAG00000086925.1)
Source: RNAcentral
GUCAGAUGAAGCGGAUGCUAAGCUACAGGACUGUAUCGCUAGCACAGACUGGAAUAUGUUCCUCCGAUGGCGUUGAGUCACCGGCUUCAUUAAUAAGUGCAUCGACGACUUUGUCUCCACAGUGACAGUACGUACAUUUCCCAACCAGAAGCCAUGGAUUAAAGGCAACAUCCGCACUGAGCUAAAGGCUAGAGUUACCGCUUUCAAGGAGCGGGACACGAAUCCGGGCACUGAUAAGAAAUCCCGCUACGCCCUCAGACAAACCAUCAAACAGGCAAAGCAUCAAUACAGGUCUAAGAUUGAAUCGUACAAUACCGGCUCCAACGCUCGUCGGAUGUGGCAGGGCUUGAAGACUAUUACAGACUACAAAGGGAAACUAUCAUGGAUUAUGAAGGGAAACCCAAUCGCGAGCUGUCUCGCCUACCAGACGAACUAAAUACCUUUUACGCUUGCUUCGAGGCAAGCAAUCCUGAACCAUGCAGCAGCAACUAUUCUGGACGACUGUGUGAUCUCCGUAGCCAAUGUGAGUAAGACUUUUAAACAGGUCAACAUUCACAAGGCCGCAGGGACAGACGAAGACCGCAACAACACAUCCGCCAUGCUGAUCCUCAAUACGGGGGCCCCUCCGUUGUGCGUACUCAGUCCCCUCCUGUACUCCCUGUUCACUCAUGACUGCACUGCCAGGCACAACUCCAAUACCAUCAUUAAGUUUGCUGAUGACACAACAGUGGUAGGCCUGAUCACCGACAACGAUGAGACAGCCUAUAGGGAGGAGGUCAGAGACCUGGACGGGUGGUGCCAGGACAACAACCUCUACCUCGACGUGAUCAAGACAAAGGAGAUGAUUGUGGACUACAGGAAAAGGAGGACCGAGCAUGCCCUCAUUCUCAUCGACGGGGCUGAAGUGGAGUAGGUUGAGAGCUUCAAGUUCCUUGGUGUCCACAUCACCAACAAACUAUCAUGGUCCAAACACACCAAGACAGUCAUGAAGAGGACACGACAAAACCUAUUCCCCCUCAGGAGACUGAAAAGAUUUGGCAUGUGUCCUCAGAUCCUCAAAAGGUUCUACAGCUGCACCAUCGAGAGCAUCCUGACUGGUUGCAUCACUGCCUGGUAUGGCAACUGCUCGGCCUCCGACCGCAAGGCACUACAGAGGGUAGUGCGUAUGCCCCAGUACAUCACCGAGGCCAAGCUUCCUGCCAUCCAGGAUCUCUACACCAGGUGGUGCCAGAGGAAGGCCCUAAAAAUGGUCAAAGACUCCAGCCACCCCCAGCCAUAGACUGUUCUCUCUGCUACCGCACGGCAAGCGGUACCGGGGCACCAAGUCUAGGUCCAAGAGGCUUCUAAACAGCUUCUACCACCAAGCCAUAAGACUCCUGAACAGCUAAUCAAAUGGCUACCCAGACUACUUUCAUUGCCCCCCCCCCCCUUCCUUCUGCUGCACUCUGUUAUCAUCUAUGCAUAGUCACUUUAAUAACUCUACCUGACGUGUUCUAUACUGAUGGCACUGUUUUCAACUACAUAUCUGUGAUAACUCAAUUUAGACUACCAGAAAGCUAGUCCUUGUUUACAAUGAUCAGAAGUGCAAUUCUCACAGUGAGGUUCAAACACAUCAUUGGAAAGUUUUCACAACAUUUUAGUCAUUUAGCAAACACUUAUCCAGAGCAACUUACAGUAGUGAAUGCAUACAUUUCCCACAUUGACUCUGUAUAUAGGGGUACCGUAUAUAGCCUCCACAUUGACUCUGUACCAGUACCCCCUGUAUAUAGCCUCCACAUUGACUCUGUACCGGUACCCACUGUAUAUAGCCUCCACAUUGACUCUGUACCGGUACCCCCUGUAUAUAGCCUCCACAUUGACUCUGUACCGGUACCUCCUGUAUAUAGCCUCCACAUUGACUCUGUACCGGUACCCCCUGUAUAUAGCCUCCACAUUGACUCUGUACCAGUACCCCCUGUAUAUAGCCUCCACAUUGACUCUGUACCGGUACCGCCUGUAUAUAGCCUCCACAUUGACUCUGUACCAGUACCCCCUGUAUAUAGCCUCCACAUUGACUCUGUACCGGUACCCCCUGUAUAUAGCCUCCACAUUGACUCUGUACCGGUACCCCCUGUAUAUAGCCUCCACAUUGACUCUGUACCGGUACCCCCUGUAUAUAGCCUCCACAAUGACUCUGUACCGGUACCCCCUGUAUAUAGCCUCCACAUUGACUGUGUACCGGUACUCCCUGUAUAUAGCCUCCACAUUGACUCUGUACUGGUACCCCCUGUAUAUAGCCUCCACAUUGACUCUGUACCGGUACCCCCUGUAUAUAGCCUCCACAUUGACUCUGUACCGGUACCCCUUGUAUAUAGCCUCCACAUUGACUCUGUACCGGUACCCCCUGUAUAUAGCCUCCACAUUGACUCUGUACUGGUACCGCCUGUAUAUAGCCUCCACAUUGACUCUGUACCGGUACCCCCUGUAUAUAGCCUCCACAUUGACUCUGUACCGGUACCCCCUGUAUAUAGCCUCCACAUUGACUCUGUUCCGGUACCCCCUGUAUAUAGCCUCCACAUUGACUCUGUACCGUAAUACCCUGUAUAUAGCCUCCACAUUGACUCUGUACCGUAACACCCUGUAUAUAGCCUCCACAUUGACUCUGUACCGUAAUGCCCUGUAUAUAGCCUCCACAUUGACUCUGUACCGGUACCCCCUGUAUAUAGCCUCCACAUUGACUCUGUACCGGUACCCCCUGUAUAUAGCCUCCACAUUGACUCUGUACCAGUACCCCUGUAUAUAGCCUCCACAUUGACUCUGUACCGGUACCCCCUGUAUAUAGCCUCCACAUUGACUCUGUACCGGUACCCCCUGUAUAUAGCCUCCACAUUGACUCUGUACCGGUACCCCUGUAUAUAGCCUCCACAUUGACUCUGUACCGUAAUACCCUGUAUAUAGCCUCCACAUUUACUCUGUACCGGUACCCCCUGUAUACAGCCUCCACAUUGACUCUGUACCGGUACCCCCUGUAUAUAGCCUCCACAUUGACUCUGUACCGGUACCCCCUGUAUAUAGCCUCCACAUUGACUCUGUACUGGUACCCCCUGUAUAUAGCCUCCACAUUGACUCUGUACCGGUACCCCCUGUAUAUAGCCUCCACAUUGACUCUGUACUGGUACCCCCUGUAUAUAGCCUCCACAUUGACUCUGUACCGGUACCCCCUGUAUAUAGCCUCCACAUUGACUCUGUACUGGUACCCCCUGUAUAUAGCCUCCACAUUGACUCUGUACUGGUACCCCCUGUAUAUAGCCUCCACAUUGACUCUGUACCGGUACCCCCUGUAUAUAGCCUCCACAUUGACUCUGUACCGGUACCCCCUGUAUACAGCCUCCACAUUGACUCUGUACCGGCACCGCCUGUAUACAGCCUCCACAUUGACUCUGUACCGGUACCCCCUGUAUACAGCCUCCACAUUGACUCUGUACCGGCACCGCCUGUAUACAGCCUCGCUAUUGUUAUUUUACUGCUGCUCUUUAAUUAUUUGUUACUUUUAUUGAAUUUAUUUUAGAUAUUUUUCUUAAAACUGCAUUGUCGGUUGUAAAUAAGCAUUUCAAUGUAAGGUUGUAUGUGCAUGUGACACACUUUUGAUUUGAUUUGAUUUGAAGUCUGGAACCAAACAGGACCCUGAACAGUCAUAGACUGUUCUCUCUGCUACCGCACGGCAAGCGGUACCGAUGGACCAAGUCUAGAACCAAACAGGACCCUGAACAGCAUCUACCCCCAAAGCCAUAAGACUGAUAAAUAGUUAGUCCAGGUAGCUAUUGGUUAACUAUUUAACGAUCUGCAUUAACCCUUUUUUGCACCAACUCUUUUGACUCAUCACAUAUGCUGCUGUUUACUCUCUAUCCUGUUGUCACUUUAUCCCAUCCUAUAUGUGACCCGUUUCAGGAAGCUAAGCGUAUGUCCCACGUCACUACUUCACAGGAGAGGCAUUUGAACGUAACAAAACAUUUUUUUUUUUUUUUUAAUGAAAAUAUGUUUUUUGGCAGAAAUGCUUUCUGGAACAUCAAAUCAAAUGUUAUUGGUCACAUGGUUAGCAGAUGUUAUUGGUCACAUGGUUAGCAGAUGUUAUUGGUCACAUGGUUAACAGAUGUUAUUGGUCACAUGGUUAACAGAUGUUAUUGGUCACAUGGUUAAUAGAUGUUAUUGGUCACAUGGUUAACAGAUGUUAUUGGUCACAUGGUUAACAGAUGUUAUUGGUCACAUGGUUAACAGAUGUUAUUGGUCCAUACACAUGGUUAGCAGAUGUUAUUGGUCACAUGGUUAGCAGAUGUUAUUGGUCCAUACACAUGGUUAGCAGAUGUUAUUGGUCACAUGGUUAGCAGAUGUUAUUGGUCCAUACACAUGGUUAGCAGAUGUUAUUGGUCACAUGGUUAGCAGAUGUUAUUGGUCACAUACACAUGGUUAGCAGAUGUUAUUGUGAGUGUAGCGAAAUGCUAAUGCUUCUAGAUCCGAAGGUGCAGUAAUAUCUCUCAUGAGCCUUAAUAACAAACGUGUACGCCAUCUGUAAAUACGAAUGAAAUUGUUAAAUUACGAGCCUAGUUGGUUUAGCCACGGAAAAAGACAGUAACUUUCCCGCUAGCCAGUGGGGAAAAGCUGUGAUGGACUACUUUCUGGAGGACGAUCGUGCCAUGCUGACUCUCUCUGAUUCUGAAAACGAAUCAAACAGUAAAGAAAUCUCAGACUAUUCUGACGUUUGAUUGCAUCCGUGACAGAGAGGUAGAAAGAUCUGAUGAUUCUGAUGGCAUUGUAGUAGUAGCAGCAGCAGCAGCAGCAGCAGCAGUAGUAGUUUUUUCUUUAUUUUUACUAUUUUUACUAUUUUCUACAUUGUAGAAUAAUAGUGAAGACAUCAAAACUAUGAAAUAACACAUAUGGAAUCAUGUAGUAACCAAAAAAGUGUUAAACAUAUCAAAAUAUAUUUUAUACUUGAGAUUAUUCAAAGAAGCCACCCUUUGCCUUGAUGACAGCUUUGCACACUCUUGGCAUUACAACACAGGGUUACAGUCACCAACGCUCUGGAUAACAUGAAAACAGCCUAACCAGCUCUGCUAGGAGGAGUAAAAUGGUCAGAGUUUGGGCUGGGGCUAACGCUUAAGAUGAUUCUGAUGGCAUUGCACACGGUCAGUGUGAACCAGAGAGACCUGACACAACGGACCACAAACAGAACAGAAACGACACAGGAUGUCUUAUUUAAUGAAAGGAGUUCCGGUCUGCUGUGACACGUUCAUCCAUCUAUACGGGUAAGAGUCUAGCUACAGUUUCAGAUAUUAUACGUGUCUUAUCUUGUCAGAAAGUUGUAUGGCUCAGUCUGUAGGGCUCAGUCGGUAGGGCGCGGCUCAGUAGGGAGGGAGCGGCUCAGUCUGUAGGGCUCAGUCGGUAGGGCGCGGCUCAGUAGGGAGGGAGCGGCUCAGUCGGUAGGGAGCGGCUCAGUCGGUAGGGAGCGGCUCAGUAGGGAGGGAGGGAGCGGCUCAGUAGGGAGGGAGCGGCUCAGUCUGUAGGGCUCAGUCGGUAGGGAGCGGCUCAGUCGGUAGGGCGCGGCUCAGUCGGUAGGGAGCGGCUCAGUCAGUAGGGAGCGGCUCAGUCGGUAGGGCGCGGCUCAGUCGGUAGGGUUCAGUUGGUAGGGCUCAGUCGGUAGGGCUCAGUCGGUAGGGCUCAGUCGGUAGGGCGUGGCUCAGUCGGUAGGGCUCAGUCGGUAGGGCGUGGCUCAGUCGGUAGGGCUCAGUCGGUAGGGCUCAGUCGGUAGGGCUCAGUCGGUAGGGCGCGGCUCAGUCGGUAGGGCUCAGUCGAUAGGGCGUGGCUCAGUCGGUAGGGCGCGGCUCAGUCGGUAGGGAGCGGCUCAGUCGGUAGGGUGCUGCUCAGUCAGUAGGGCGCGGCUCAGUCGGUAGAGCGCGGCUCAGUCGGUAGGGCGCGGCUCAGUCAGUAGGGCGCUGCUCAGUCGGUAGGGCUCAGUCGGUAGGGCGCGGCUCUGUUGGAGGGGCGUGGCUCAGUCGGUAGUGCGCGGCUCUGUUGGAGGGGCGUGGCUCAGUCGGUAGGGCGCGGCUCAGUCGGUAGGGCUCAGUCGGUAGUGCGCGGCUCUGUUGGAGGGGCGUGGCUCAGUCGGUAGGGCGCGGCUCAGUCGGUAGGGCUCAGUCGGUAGGGUGCGGCUCUGUUGGAGGGGCGUGGCUCAGUCAGUAGGGAGCGGCUCAGUCAGUAGGGCUCAGUCGGUAGGGCUCAGUCGGUAGGGCUCAGUCGGUAGGGCGUGGCUCUGUUGGAGGGGCGUGGCUCAGUCAGUAGGGCGCGGCUCUGUCAAUAGGGCGCGGCUCAGUCAAUAGGGCGCGGCUCAGUCAAUAGGGAGCGGCUCAGUCAGUAGGGAGCGGCUCAGUCAGUAGGGCGCGGCUCAGUCAGUAGGGAGCGGCUCAGUCAGUAGGGAGCGGCUCAGUCAGUAGGGCGCGGCUCAGUCAAUAGGGAGCGGCUCAGUCGGGAGGGAGCGGCUCAGUCGGGAGGGAGGGAGCGGCUCAGUCGGUAGGGAGCGGCUCAGUCGGGAGGGAGGGAGCGGCUCAGUCGGUAGGGAGCGGCUCAGUCGGUAGGGCGCGGCUCAGUCGGUAGGGAGCGGCUCAGUCGGUAGGGCGCGGCUCAGUCGGUAGGGCGCGGCUCAGUCGGUAGGGCGCUCAGUCGGUAGGGAGCGGCUCAGUCGGUAGGGAGCAGCUCAGUCGGGAGGGAGCGGCUCAGUAGGGAAGGAGCGGCUCAGUAGGGAGGGAGCAGCUCAGUAGGGAGGGAGCGGCUCAGUAGGGAGGGAGCGGCUCAGUAGGGAGGGAGGGAGCGGCUCAGUCGGGAGGGAGUGGCUCGGUAGGGAGGGAGGGAGCGGCUCAGUAGGGAGGGAGGGAGCGGCUCAGUAGGGAGGGACGGAGCGGCUCAGUAGGGAGGGACUGGCUCAGUCAAUAGGGCGCGGCUCAGUCGGUAGGGAGCGGCUCAGUAGGGAGGGAGCGGCUCAGUAGGGAGGGAGGGAGUGGCUCAGUAGGGAGGGAGCGGCUCAGUAGGGAGGGAGGGAGCGGCUCAGUAGGGAGGGAGAGGCGGCUCAGUCGGUAGGGAGUGGCUCAGUAGGGAGGGAGCGGCUCAGUAGGGAGGGAGGGAGUGGCUCAGUAGGGAGGGAGCGGCUCAAUAGGGAGGGAGCGGCUCAGUAGGGAGGGAGGGAGCGGCUCAGUAGGGAGGGAGGGAGCGGCUCAGUCGGUAGGGAGCGGCUCAGUAGGGAGGGAGAGAGCGGCUUAGUCGGUAGGGCUCAGUCGGUAGGGCUCAGUAGGGAGGGAGCGGCUCAGUCGGUAGUUGUAGCCUAAUGCUAGCUAGCUAACAUUGCACCUAGUUGGUUAACGUUAGCUACCUGCAGAUUCAUACUACAGCAUUUCAUGCAUGGUGGCUCUGACUAUCAGUUUGUAUUCUCCCUCUCUCUCUCUCUCUCUCUCUCUCUCUCUCCGUGUGUUUGCAUGUGUGUGGCUGAGGACUAUCUAGAGAGAGGGGACAACACAGACACUCAGAGCACAGAGAGAGGGGACAACACAGACACUCAGAGCACAGAGAGAGGGGACAACACAGACACUCAGAGCACAGAAAGAGGACAACACAGACACUCCGAGCACAGAGAGGGGACAACACAGACAAAAGUGCUCUCCAUUAGAAUCAGUGAAAGCAGGAUUCCUGCUAAGCUCUUUAAGCUGCUAGCCCACCCCUGUCUACCCCGAUCCACUUUUAACCACCCAUAUCUACCUCUAUCUACCCCUAUCCACCUCUAUCUACCCCUAAGUACCCAUCUAUCCUAAUUCACCCCAUCUACCCCUAUCAAUCAAAUGUAUUUAUAUCACCCUUCUUACAUCAGCUGAUAUCUCAAAGUGCUGUACAGAAACCCAGCCUAAAACCCCAAGCAGCAAGCAAUGCAGGUGUAGAAGCACGGUGGCUAGGAAAAACUCCCUAGAAAGGCCAGAACCUAGGAAGAAACCUAGAGAGGAACCAGGCUAUGAGGGGUGGCCAGUCCUCUUCUGGCUGUGCCGGGUGGAGAUUAUAUCCACCCCAUCUACCCCUGUACACCCCUACAGUGCCUUGCAAAAGUAUUCACCCCCCUUGGCGUUUUUCCUAUUUUUUGCAUUACAACCUGUUAUUUAAAUUGAUUUUUAUUUGUAUUUCAUGUCAUGGACAGAAUAGUAAUGUCAUGAAAUAGUCCAAAUUGGUUAAGU